CACACCCCCACUGACCCCCAUCUCCAGGCAUCUGCCCUGAUGGCCUCCAGGGCCCCUUCUGUGCCUGCAGAGAUGGCGGCCUGCUCUCUAGGUCAGGCCAGGUUCCCGGGAGCCGAGGUCUGGCUGUUAUUCCAGGAGUGCCCAGCCCCAGAGCUGCCACCUCAGGCCCCUGGAAGUUCUGCAGCCUGAGCUGCCGUCCUCAGACCACUCUGCCUCUGAGCGUGCAAGAGGCUCAGGGCCUUUCCAGGCCUCCCAGAGCCAGGCAGCAGCAGGGAGCCAAGAGCAGCCUGUGGCUCCACUGUGGCAAAGGACAGCCUAUUUAGGCUGAGAGUGGGCCUGAGAGAUCACAAAUCUUUUUUCUUUGCCCAGAACUUUUAAUUUAACCCUGACUUAAAAGGGUGUUCAGGGAGCAUCAUGCUAGAAAUCCCAAAUACGAUGAAAGAAUCCCACAACAGAGGUGAACAGAGGCCUGUUCCCAGGUUCAUCCCGGGAAGGUAGCAAGACAGCGCCCCCUUUGCCCAGCUCAGUGAAGGGCCGGGGCAGCUGAUGUGGCCUGCGCACAGGGUGAGGCAGCAAGGGUAAGAGCUUCCAGAACUCCAGGGAAGGCAGCGGAAGAGGGAAACGUUCACAGAGCACCAAGAGGGGCGCAAGGGAGCUCAACUCUACUGCCAGAACCUGCAGUCAGGGGAUUCUCAUGAGGACAAAUUAGAGCACCUGUCACUAUAGCCAGCACUCAAGAAAUGGGAUUAUCAUCAGAGGGAAAAAUGCACAGCCUCACCAGCUAUUAAACAUAUGGAAAUGAUGACAAUUUAAAGCUUAUAAAUAACAUUAGCGGUGGCUUGGAUUUAUUGUUGUGGCCUCCGGAAGAACUUGGGCACAGUGUAACUUCCUGGGGCCCGAGGUUGUUAAUCGGUGAAUUGUUCAUGAAGGACAGUGCUCACUGUGAAGGUGGGUGUCCUGGGAUGCUCUGCCUGGCCCGCGGGAGACAAGGCUAUGGUCUGACAUCCCUCAGCCUGUCCUCAUUGUCCUGGCUCUGAGAAGAAGCUACAAAACACAGUAGAAGAAAAAGAAAACAGUCUUUUAAAGACUUGUAAUGAGUUGUUAAUGAUAAAAGUAACACAUGCCAACUGGAAAAAUGUGAAUUUUUUAUCUCAGCCAAAAGUAUAAAGAUACUUCGAUUUCUUUAAAAACUUAUGGAAAUCUGUUGUUGUAUGCAUAGAUUGUUGAAUACAUCUCUGCUUAUUUAAACUCCUGAAAGUCUUAUCAAUGAGGUCAAAAGGCAGGAAC
Molecule: long non-coding RNA, 1287 nt
Filed under: Homo sapiens (human)
Lineage: Eukaryota; Metazoa; Chordata; Mammalia; Primates; Hominidae
Description: HSALNT0300341
Source: RNAcentral